Molecule: long non-coding RNA, 552 nt
Filed under: Hordeum vulgare
Lineage: Eukaryota; Viridiplantae; Streptophyta; Magnoliopsida; Poales; Poaceae
Description: long non-coding RNA (HVUL_LNC010996)
Source: RNAcentral
CCCGCCCCGCCCCGCCCGCGCCCGCGCCCGCGCUCGUGAGUCUCAGGGUCCGCCGGAGGGAGGGAGGGAGGGAGAGGGGCGGUUCUCGUGGUGGUGGUGGUGGUGGUGGGCUGGCACGCACCUGCUCUGCGUCUGUGUGCCUUCUCCGGCUGGGGCCUUGGCUUUUCUGCGGGCUGCGCGAGCCGUUACGUUACGCUACGCUGGGUAUUGACCUGCCGUUGGCUCGCGGGCGGCCGAUUCUCUAUCCUUCCCGACCGUUGGGGCGGGGGAGAAGAAGGCCCGCCGCUAGCCUAGUAAUGGCGGUGCGGUACCGCACUCCCAGGCCCCACGUGGGUCUCGUCCUCGUCGGUGGAGCGACGGAGCGUCACAACGGGGACCGGUAUCCCCGGAUCCAUCGGCCGGUGUCGCGUGUGUCACCUGAGAGAUCUCGUCCGCGUCGCGCCCGUUUUCACCACGGAUCACAAUUACCCCACCUUAUUACGGUUCAUGGGAAUACGGUUUCCAUACCAUGGUUGCCCUCCGUUUCCCCUCUUUCCCGGUUGCAAAAAAGAA